GAACAAUUCCUGAGUCAAGGCAGAAAUAGGUUAUGGGACUUCAUCACUCCUGGGAAUCUUAGAAACCUGAGAAGGAAUUCUCCCUAAAGAGGACUCUUCAGUAUAAAAGAUCUCCCUGUGGGAAGAAGAGUAACCCAUUUAUCUGGCAUGUGGCAUUUGCUCCUGCUUCCAAAUGGACAGAAUUCAGUGCGGCAGGGGACUGGCUGAUGAGAUGUGGGAAGAAAAGCCUAUCCCUUCAAACCAUAACAGUCCUUUUCCCCCCAAGGUGCUUUCCUGGGGCCCUAUUUUGCCAAGCUGCCCUCUGCAGAACUGCAUAAGCCAAGUCCAGCCGGGAGGAUCUUCUGGGUACCACCUUGACCUACCAUGUCCAACAGGAAAUGUUAAUGGAGGAUUCCAGCAAAUGUACAACUGAGAGCUCCAUAAAAGGCCCAGAAACCUCUGGAAAUAAAGGUUUAGAUCACUUCAUUAGACAAACCCAGUUAAAGCUUUGGCAAGGGGUGGGGAGAACACAGAAUGAGUAAUAUCAGAGGAAAUUCAUGAACAACAGCU
Molecule: long non-coding RNA, 549 nt
Organism: Suricata suricatta (meerkat)
Lineage: Eukaryota; Metazoa; Chordata; Mammalia; Carnivora; Herpestidae
Exons: 3
Source: RefSeq, a predicted model, not a curated record